CAGCCGCCGCGGUAACACGGAGGGUGCAAGCGUUGUCCGGAUUUAUUGGGUUUAAAGGGUGCGCAGGCGGGGGGGUCAGUCCGCGGUGAAAGACGAUUGCUCAACGAUUGCAGUGCCGUGGAUACUGCCCUUCUUGAAUCUGGUUGAGGCCGGUGGAAUUGACCGUGUAGCGGUGAAAUGCAUAGAUAUGGUCAAGAACUCCAAUUGCGAAGGCAGCCGGCUGGGCCAGCAUUGACGCUCAGGCACGAGAGUGCGGGGAUCAAACAGGAUUAGAGACCCCAGUAGUCCCUGUCUCUUAUAC
This 301-nucleotide ribosomal RNA is filed under the name uncultured bacterium. RNAcentral describes it as "partial 16S ribosomal RNA". It matches the Rfam family "Bacterial small subunit ribosomal RNA", at positions 509 to 807 of the family's 1533-position model. The record is from RNAcentral.